This 393-nucleotide ribosomal RNA is filed under the name uncultured bacterium. Its description in RNAcentral is "partial 16S ribosomal RNA". It matches the Rfam family "Bacterial small subunit ribosomal RNA", at positions 523 to 918 of the family's 1533-position model. The record is from RNAcentral.
AUACGGAAGGUCCGGGCGUUAUCCGGAUUUACUGGGUUUAAAGGGAGCGCAGGCGGAGAUGCAAGCGUGACGUCAAAUUUCGGGGCUCAACCCCGUCUCGCGUCGCGAACUGCGUCCCUUGGUUGCGGGAAGGGGAGGCGGAACUCGUGGUGUAGCGGUGAAAUGCAUAGAUAUCACGAAGAACUCCGAUCGCGAAGGCAGCCUUCCGGCCCGUCAACGACGCUCAUGCUCGAAGGUGCGGGUAUCAAACAGGAUUAGAUACCCUGGUAGUCCGCACAGUAAACGAUGGACACCCGCGGUUUGGCCUGUAUGGCUGAGCCGCCAAGCGAAAGCGUUAAGUGUCCCACCUGGGGAGUACGCCGGCAACGGUGAAACUCAAAGGAAUUGACGGGG